GUGCACCAGUCGAGAAACUUCACAAUGUGCGAAAGCACGAUGAGGGAAUCCCAAGUGCUUGCUCGUAAGAGUAAGCUGUUUCUCUGUCUAAAACGCAGAGAGAGUAAGGGCUGGGUAAGACGGGUGCCAGCCGCCGCGGUAAUACCUGCAGCUCGAGUGGUGGCCGCUAUUAUUGGGCCUAAAACGUCCGUAGCCGGUUUAUUAAAUGCCUGGGUAAAUCGGACCGCUUAACGGUUCGAAUUCCGGGUAGACUGAUAAACUUGAGACCGGGAGAAGCUAGAGGUACUCCUGGGGUAGAGGUGAAAAUUCUGUAAUCCUAGGGGGACCACCAGUGGCGAAGGCGUCUAGCUAGAACGGGUCUGACGGUGAGGGACGAAGCCCU
Molecule: ribosomal RNA, 382 nt
Filed under: uncultured microorganism
Description: bacterial SSU rRNA
Rfam family: Archaeal small subunit ribosomal RNA
Source: RNAcentral